CCUACGGGUGGCUGCAGUGGGGAAUAUUGCUCAAUGUGGGCAAGCCUGAUGCAGCAACGCCGCGUGAGGGAUGACGUAUCUAGGUGUGUAAAGCUCUAUCAGCAAGGAAGUAAAUUACAGUACCUGACUAUUAAGCUCCGGCUAACUACGUGCCAGCAGCCGCGGUAAUACGCAGGGAGCAAGCGUUAUCCGGAUUUACUGGGCGUAAGGGGAGCGUAGACGGCUGGGCAAGUCAGAAGUGAAAGCCUGGGGCUCAACCGUAGGACUGCUGUUGAAACUGUGUAUCUUGAGUGCAGGAGAGGUAAGUGGAAUUCGUAGUGUAGCGGUGAAAUGCGUAGAUAUUAGGAAGAACACCGGUGGCGAAGGCGGCUUACUGGACUGUAACUGACAUUGAGGCUCGAAAGCGUGGGUAGCAAACAGGAUUAGAUACCCCUGUAGUC
Molecule: ribosomal RNA, 440 nt
Filed under: uncultured bacterium
Lineage: Bacteria
Description: partial 16S ribosomal RNA
Rfam family: Bacterial small subunit ribosomal RNA
Source: RNAcentral